RNAcentral lists this transfer RNA (74 nucleotides) under Microbacterium arborescens. Its description in RNAcentral is "tRNA-Met". It matches the Rfam family "tRNA". From Rfam's summary of the family: Transfer RNA (tRNA) molecules are approximately 80 nucleotides in length. Their secondary structure includes four short double-helical elements and three loops (D, anti-codon, and T loops). Further hydrogen bonds mediate the characteristic L-shaped molecular structure. tRNAs have two regions of fundamental functional importance: the anti-codon, which is responsible for specific mRNA codon recognition, and the 3' end, to which the tRNAs corresponding amino acid is attached (by aminoacyl-tRNA synthetases). tRNAs cope with the degeneracy of the genetic code in two manners: having more than one tRNA (with a specific anti-codon) for a particular amino acid; and 'wobble' base-pairing, i.e. permitting non-standard base-pairing at the 3rd anti-codon position. The record is from RNAcentral. RNAcentral also lists the same sequence under 5 other names. Lineage: Bacteria; Bacillati; Actinomycetota; Actinomycetes; Micrococcales; Microbacteriaceae.
GGCAGGGUAGCUCAGCUGGUGAGAGCGCACGACUCAUAAUCGUGAGGUCGCGGGUUCAAGCCCCGCUCCUGCUA